GAGUAACGCGUAAGAACUUACCCUAAAGUGGGGGACAACCUCGAAAUCGGGGCUAAUACCGCAUACGCUCCGCAAGGAGGAAAGCUACGGCGCUUUAGGAGGGGCUUGCGUCCGAUUAGCUAGUUGGUGAGGUAAUGGCCCACCAAGGCUUAGAUCGGUAGCUGGUCUGAGAGGAUGAUCAGCCACACUGGAAUUGAGAUACGGUCCAGACUCCUACGGGAGGCAGCAGCAGGGAAUAUUGCGCAAUGGGUGAAAGCCUGACGCAGCAACGCCGCGUGGGGGAUGACGGCUUUCGAGUUGUAAACCCCUUUUCUUGGGGAAGAUAAUGACGGUACCCAAGGAAUAAGCCUCGGCUAACUACGUGCCAGCAGCCGCGGUAAAACGUAGGAGGCGAGCGUUAUCCGGAUUUACUGGGUGUAAAGCGCGUGCAGGCGGUUCAGAAAGUUGGAUGUGAAAGCUCCUGGCUUAACCGGGAGAGGUCGUUCAAUACUUCUGGACUAGAGUGUGAGAGAGGGAGGUGGAAUUCCGUGUGUAGUGGUGAAAUGCGUAGAUAUACGGAGGAACACCUGUGGCGAAAGCGACCUCCUGGCUCACUUCUGACGCUCAGACGCGAAAGCUAGGGUAGCAAACGGGAUUAGAGACCCCGGUAGUCCUAGCCGUAAACGAUGUGGACUUGGCGUCGGUGGGGUAAAAUCCAUCGGUGUCGAAGCUAACGCGGUAAGUCCACCACCUGGGGACUACGGCCGCAAGGUUAAAACUCAAAGGAAUUGACGGGGGCCCGCACAAGCAGCGGAGCGUGUGGUUUAAUUCGAUGUUACACGAAGAACCUUACCAGGGUUUGACAUGCAAGUGGUAGGGAUCCGAAAGGUGACCGACCCUUCGGGGAGCUUGCACAGGUGCUGCAUGGCUGUCGUCAGCUCGUGUCGUGAGAUGUUCGGUUAAGUCCGCUAACGAGCGCAACCCUCGUCGUGUGUUACAUGUGUCACACGAGACCGCCGGUUUUAAGCCAGAGGAAGGUGGGGAUGACGUCAAGUCAGCAUGGCCUUUAUAUCCUGGGCUACACACACGCUACAAUGGCCAGUACAAUAGGUUGCGAAGCCGCGAGGCGGAGCCAAUCCAAAAAGCUGGUCUCAGUUCAGAUUGCAGGCU
This 1149-nucleotide ribosomal RNA is filed under the name uncultured bacterium. Its description in RNAcentral is "bacterial SSU rRNA". It matches the Rfam family "Bacterial small subunit ribosomal RNA", at positions 108 to 1306 of the family's 1533-position model. The record is from RNAcentral.